AUGAUCCCUUUGGCGCCCUUGGAGGACAUUUCGCUUCCUUUCAAGUUGAUGAAGAGGAAACAGUUCCCUGUUUGUCAGAGUUAUGCAAAGACCAUUAACAUAGCCCAGGGGCAAACCAUCCCAACUGUCGGUAUUUACCUUCCGGAGCAUGUACUCUCGCAUGCCCAGGUUUAUCUUGCACUGUCAAGAGCUUUUUGUCUGGUCGCACCUAUAGGCAGUAUAGAGGAUCUACUCUCAGUAAGCUCUACAGCCGAUCAUUUUUUCCGCUUCCACUACUUCUUUUACCUUACUUUACACGGUGUAAUCUGUUUCAAUGCUAUGAUGCACUAUACGUAUGUUCUGCAUCAUUUUCCUUGUUGUAUCUACUGA
Molecule: ribosomal RNA, 369 nt
Filed under: Triticum aestivum (bread wheat)
Lineage: Eukaryota; Viridiplantae; Streptophyta; Magnoliopsida; Poales; Poaceae
Description: partial small subunit ribosomal RNA
Source: RNAcentral